This 106-nucleotide ribosomal RNA is filed under the name uncultured bacterium. RNAcentral describes it as "partial 16S ribosomal RNA". It matches the Rfam family "Bacterial small subunit ribosomal RNA", at positions 355 to 460 of the family's 1533-position model. The record is from RNAcentral.
UGGGGAAUAUUGCACAAUGGGCGCAAGCCUGAUGCAGCGACGCCGCGUGCGGGAUGGAGGCCUUCGGGUUGUAAACCGCUUUUGUUCAAGGGCAAGGCAGGCUUUC